CUUCCAUUGUAACCUCUAUGAUACACUCAUCAUUCUAAGUGAGCUCUCGAAUGUCAAGAACAUUCCUGAAAGACGCACACAUCCAUCCUGGCAGAUAAUACCUAAGCAAACAAAUAUAUGUUUUUAAUUCCCAUCAAAUAGGGCAAUUUAAAGGUGAAAUAAGAGAUAGCAGUGCCAUUCACAGAAAAUCAAUCACUCUCAAUAUGCUUGCUAUCACUCCAAGGAUGUUUGCCAGACAAAUUAGGAAAUUAAAAAGGCAUUCUGGCUUAUUUGCCAUUAUUAAACAGUACCCUUAUUCCAGUCUUUACCUAACGAUUACUGAUAAGAGCAGAAUAUUUAUAGGAGAGAGGCACAGGUAAGAGUUGGGCAGCAGCACUGCAGGCAACAGCUGAGAGAACUUUCACUUGUCCCAGAGUAGCGUCUUUCGAAACGUUUUAAGGGAAGCAUCAUGGCUUUGCUGAUGGCUGGACUGUGGCAGCUAGCUACUGUGGUGAUGAUCUUGUCUCACAUCUCAGCAUCACUUCCUUCUCUUGGGAGGCACCAGAGGCAAAUCGAGCUCAAAUUGAUGCAUGAUGCAGGAAUGAGAAGAGAAUAUGAGAAAGCUGCCAAAUUACUACAAAACCUGAUGAACUACAAGCGCAGUGUCUCAUCUGGAGUAAAGGAUGAAUCUGGCUUCACUGAUAAAAACACAGAUGACUUGUGGACUUCAGAAGAAAAACUCAUUAAACUGAAGACUUGUUUGCAAUUUGUACAGAACCUUGAUGCAAGUUUUUCAGGCAAUGAUGCAGAGGAAGCCACUCAGAUAAUGAGCCGCUCGGUUUGCCAACUGAUUGCAGAAAUAAAUGAAGCAGUAUCUGGAGCAACAGUAGAUGAAAAUCAGGAAUGAAGCAUCCAGCUCUGUGAGGAUCUUCAAAAAAAUAAAUUGCAACUUCUGUUUUUCAUGUGUGGAUUAAAUGAUUGGGGAAAACAAACUGUGGAAAUAAGUUAGUAAGGAUUGCAUAAAUCAAAAGGAAUGGGACUUAGAAUGAAAGACUCUGGCAUUUAUACGCCUUAUGGUAGAGUCUAAAAUUAUUUAUCUUCCUCUUGUCUUCAUCUUCUCCAAAAUCAAAUAAAGAAACUAUAGCACAGC
This 1129-nucleotide long non-coding RNA is filed under the name Podarcis muralis (Common wall lizard). RNAcentral's name for it is "lncRNA (ENSPMRG00000000112.1)". Lineage: Eukaryota; Metazoa; Chordata; Lepidosauria; Squamata; Lacertidae. The record is from RNAcentral.